Molecule: long non-coding RNA, 533 nt
Filed under: Homo sapiens (human)
Lineage: Eukaryota; Metazoa; Chordata; Mammalia; Primates; Hominidae
Description: HSALNT0309176
Source: RNAcentral
GUCCUUAAAUUAUAGGCUCUCCUGCAGUUUCAAAAAGCUAAUUCACACUACUGUGUGCAUUAGAAAGGUGGUAUAUAUGAUAUUCCACUAAGGGAAACCCUAGGAACAUUAAACUCCUACUAGUAACUGGUCACGAGUCAGGGCUAGAACUGACACUAGUCAUUUUUCUUCACUGACAAGUUUUCAUUAUGUGGCUUUCCCAGAACAAUUUAGAAAUUGAUCUGCAACUGAUGGAAGCUGGGAUGAAUUGGGCGCAUAAGUGAACCCAAAGCAUCAGAGCAAAGUCAAAGCGAACAUCUGGCUCCAGCUUUGAGUACAAGGAAAGAUGAUCUGUUCUUCCUCUGACACAGAAAGGAAGGAAGAAAGAACAUGCUGGAAGCAGAGCAAAGAAGAGAGACUUGUGUUUCCAUGGAAUAAUCUUGGGAUCCAUGUGGAGUGCAAGAGAUUGGAACAGAAGGAGUUCUCAAAAAAUAAAAACUUCGGGCGGGUGCGGUGGCUCACGCCUGUAAUCCCAGGACUUUGGGAGGCCGAGG